RNAcentral lists this ribosomal RNA (408 nucleotides) under uncultured bacterium. RNAcentral's name for it is "bacterial SSU rRNA". It matches the Rfam family "Bacterial small subunit ribosomal RNA", at positions 1097 to 1503 of the family's 1533-position model. The record is from RNAcentral.
CGCAACCCCUGCUUUCAGUUACUAACGGGUAAAGCCGAGAACUCUGGAGAGACUGCCCAGGAGAACGGGGAGGAAGGUGGGGAUGACGUCAAGUCAGCAUGGCCUUUAUGCCUGGGGCUACACACGUGCUACAAUGGCCGGUACAAAGGGCUGCAAACCCGUAAGGGGGAGCGAAUCUCAAAAAACCGGCCUCAGUUCAGAUCGAGGUCUGCAACUCGACCUCGUGAAGGCGGAAUCGCUAGUAAUCCCGGAUCAGCACGCCGGGGUGAAUACGUUCCCGGGCCUUGUACACACCGCCCGUCACACCACGAAAGUUUGUUGUACCUGAAGUCGUUGGCGCCAACCGCAAGGGGGCAGACGCCCACGGUAUGACCAAUGAUUGGGGUGAAGUCGUAACAAGGUAAAGGG